Molecule: non-coding RNA, 3945 nt
Organism: Prunus avium (sweet cherry)
Lineage: Eukaryota; Viridiplantae; Streptophyta; Magnoliopsida; Rosales; Rosaceae
Source: RefSeq, a predicted model, not a curated record
AUGCCAAUGAUUCAGAAACCUCUUUCCCUCCUCUUUCACAUUUUCCUGUUUUCCUCAUUGCCACUGAUCACAACCGCAUCAUCAUCUCCAACACCAAGAGCACAGGCAGAGGCCCUGAUCAAAUGGAAGAGAAGCUUUUCUUCUUCUUCUUCUCCACCACCUUCACUUCUCCAUUCAUGGUCCCUCACUAACAUCAACAACCUUUGCAACUGGACCGGAGUUGCGUGCGGCGAUCACACCACCAAAACCAGAACAGUCUGCAAAAUAGACCUCUCCAACAUGAACAUCACUGGAACAUUAAGCCGAUUCGACUUCAUCCGGUUUCCCAAUCUCAGUCACUUCAACCUCUUCGGCAACAAUUUCAGUGGACAAAUUCCAUCUGCCAUUGGCAACCUCACCAGCCUCACAUUCUUGGACUUGGGCAACAACAUUUUUUAUCAAGAAAUACCAUCUGAGAUAGGCAGGCUAGCAGAGCUGCAGUACUUGAGUUUCCACAACAACAAUCUCUAUGGUGCCAUCCCUUAUCAGCUAAGCUAUCUCCAAAAGGUAUGGUACUUGGACCUUGCAUCAAACAUCUUUAUAUCUCCUGAUUGGUCCAAGUUUUCAGGCAUGCCUUCAUUGACCUACCUUGAUAUUCAUGAUAAUACACAUCUAAAUUCAGAUUUCCCAGAUUUCAUAUCCCAUUGUUGGAACUUGACAUUCCUUGACUUGUCUCAGACUAAUAUGACUGGCCAAAUACCAUCAGCAGUAUGUAACAAUCUGGCCAAACUUAAGGAUUCCUAGUAUAUUAUGGAUUGAACCAAACCUAAUCUAAAUGCAACAAGGACACACGAUUACUUCUUGAUAGGCAAGGUAUCGAUGUGAUGCAUAUAUAAAUAGAGGUCCCUUCCCUUGCAGCAACUCUCUCUCAAAUCAGAUCUCACCCUAUCUAAGAGAAAGAGAAACUAAAGUGCUGCAAAAGGGAAGAAGACUCUCUACAAGAAAUCGUGAUACUCUACUGCUACCAUGGCUGAACUAGGUUAGUAUUAUAGUUUAAAAGCUUAGUACAGACUUACACUGGCUUCCAAUAAACUCAAUGGAGAAUUGCCUCUGUCCUUGUCCAAUCUGAACAACAUCAAUCAAUUGGGUUUAUCUGGAAAUCUUCUUACAGGUCCCAUCCUGCCUUCCCUUAUCUCCAAUUGGACUAAAGUGGACUCUUUGCAACUUCAAUACAAUAAGUUCAGUGGGAAUAUUCCAGCAGAAAUUGGCCUGUUGACAAAGCUCAACUACCUUUUUCUAAACAAUAAUAGCUUAUCUGGAUCAAUUCCCUCAGAGAUUGGUAACUUGAAAGAUUUGACAGGAUUGGCUCUUUCGGGAAACCAGCUCUCAGGGCCAAUUCCUAUGACACUGUGGAACCUCACAAAUAUUAAGAGAGUCGACCUUUACUUCAACAAUCUCACUGGCAUGAUUCCACCAGAGAUUGAAAAUAUGGUGUCACUGGAGGAAUUUUAUGCAGACAAUAACCACCUGUAUGGAGAGUUGCCAGGCACCAUUUCUCGGCUUACUAAAUUAAAGUCAUUCUCUGUGUUCACCAAUAAUUUUUCGGGAAGCAUUCCGAGGGAUUUUGGCAGGUACAGUCCUAAUUUGACCAUUCUGCGCCUUUCGGACAACAGCUUUACGGGAGAGCUCCCACCAGAAUUGUGUAGCGGUUCUGCUCUGGAAGAAUUGUCUGUAGGUGAUAACAACUUCUCUGGGUCAUUGCCAAAGUGCUUGAGAAAUUGUUCAAAACUACGAACAGUUGCUGUUGGUCACAACCAAUUCACGGGAAGCUUUACAAAUUCAUUUGGUAUUCAUCCUAAUCUUAACUCUGUUUUUCUCAGCAAUAAUCAAUUUGUUGGUGAAAUCUCACCAGAAUUGGGAGAAUGUGAAAGUCUCAUUCGCUUAUUGAUGGAUAGAAAUAAAAUUUCUGGUCAAAUCCCAUCUGAGCUUGGGAAGUUGAGCAAAUUGGGAGUACUAAUCCUGGACUCUAAUGACUUGACUGGAUACAUUCCGGCUCAGUUGGGAAACUUAGGCCUACUGUUCAAGCUCAAUCUGAGCAAGAAUCAUUUGACAGGAGACAUCCCCAAGAGUCUAAGCAAUUUGACUAAUCUCGAGUUGCUUGAUUUAUCCAAAAACAAUUUGUCAGGAAACAUCCCCAUAGAGCUUGGUAAGUUUGUGAAGUUGUCAACUUUAAAUCUGAGCCACAACAAUUUAUUUGGUCAAAUACCACCAGAGCUUGGUAAUUUGCCCUUGCAGUACUUGUUGGACCUCAGCAGCAAUUCACUCUCAGAAUCGCUUCCUGCAAAACUGGCUAAGCUAAAACAUCUGCAGAUUCUUAAUGUUUCACAUAACCAUCUCUCAGGGAGCAUCCCAGAAACAUUUUCCCAAAUGGACAGUCUAUUUGGCAUUGAUUUCUCUUACAAUAACUUGACUGGUCCAAUCCCAACUGGUGCCGUUUUUCAAAAAGUGCAUGCAAAUGCCUUUGUUGGAAAUGAUGGUUUAUGCGGAGAUACGGAGGGACUAACUCCAUGCAACUCAAAUCAAGGAAAGUCCAACAAGUUUAACAAGAACAACAACAAAAUUCUAAUUGGUGUUUUUGUUCCUGUUUGUGGUUUAUUAGUGAUUGCUACUGUUAUUGCUCUUAUUCUUAUAUUCCGAAAGAAACCCAAGUUGCUUGAUGAUGAAACCAAAAGUUCUAAGUCUGAGAGCUUUGAUUCUAGUAUAUGGGAAAGAGAAGUGAAAUUUACGUUUGGAGAAAUUGUGAAGGCCACAGAGGACUUUGAUGAGAAGUACUGCAUUGGAAAAGGAGGAUUUGGAAGGGUGUACAAGGCAGAGUUGAUAUCAGGCCAAAUUGUUGCAGUUAAGAGGCUUAACGUAUCCAACUCUAGUGACAUUCCAGCAAUAAAUCGCCAGAGUUUUGAGAAUGAAAUAAAAACUUUGACGCAUGUCAGGCACCGCAACAUCAUUAGGUUAUUUGGGUUCUGUUCAAGAAGGGGUUCCAUGUUCUUGGUUUAUGAGUAUUUAGAGAGAGGCAGCCUAGGAAAAGCAUUGUAUGGUGUGGAAGGAGAUGAUGAACUUGGAUGGGGUACAAGGGUCAAAAUUGUGCAAGGACUAGCUCAUGCACUUUCUUACUUGCACAAUGAUUGUUCUCCACCAGUUGUGCACCGGGAUGUUUCUGUCAACAAUGUGUUGCUUGAGUGUGAUUUUGAGCCACGCCUCGCGGAUUUUGGAACAGCAAAACUGUUGAGCUCGGAUUCAACUAGCUGGACCAAUGUUGCUGGUUCUUAUGGCUACAUGGCACCAGAGCUUGCUUUCACCAUGCGUGUCACAGAUAAGAGUGAUGUGUAUAGCUUUGGAGUGGUGGCAUUAGAAAUCAUGAUGGGAAGGCACCCAAGGGAAAUGCUUGAGUCCUUAUUAGAGUCAUCAAAACCACUGAAGGACAACACAGAGUUGCUUUUAAAAGAUGUGUUAGACCAAAGGCUGGAGCCUCCAACCGGUGAACUGGCAGAGGCAGUGGUGUUUGUGGUGACCAUAGCCUUGGCCUGCACUCGUGCCCAACCGGAGUCACGACCCACAAUGCGUUAUGUGGCACAAGAACUAUCAGCUCGGACCCAGCCUUACCUCUCUGAACCAUUUGGUGCGUUAACCAUCAACAAACUAACUGGCCAUCAAAAAUAGAGGAAGAGAUUGAAACUAGUGGUAGUGUGUAUGCCAACCAAAUCUUAGUUCAAAAUGCAAAUAUAUAACUAGCUCUUUAUUGGUGUGUUUGUAUUGUGUGUACAUGCAUUGAGCCUAGUAACAAUGUUGGUUCUUGAUGCCCCAGAUGCAUGCUAGUUAAGAUAAUAAUCUUUUGGUCUAACCCAAAAGUUUUGAAUCUUUUGGCACUUGUACUAUAUAAUAGUGUAUAUAAUGUAGUUUCAUUUACAA